Molecule: long non-coding RNA, 924 nt
Filed under: Homo sapiens (human)
Lineage: Eukaryota; Metazoa; Chordata; Mammalia; Primates; Hominidae
Description: HSALNT0281141
Source: RNAcentral
CGCACGCCACUUCCCUCAGCCUGUAGAACUUCCGGCAGCAACUGCAAUUAGGGGUAGUCCAGUGCUAAAUUGUCGCAGCCUUGAAAAUAUUCUGCUUCGUUAUUUCGGGCACUCCACAGAUUCUGUUGCGAAGGCAGCCAUCUUUAGUUCGUCUUUCCUAGAGAGCGUUGAGAAGAUUCUGCUCCAUUUUUUCUGAUUAUGGAUUCUGUUCAGAAGGAAGCCGAAUUUUAAGUCAUCGUUCUAGGAUAGUAUUUUAGUAUGAAAAUUUCCAGACCUAUAGAAAAUUUGAAAUACUUGCACCAUGAAUAUCCAGAUUCAGCUCCAUUUUCUCUGGUGGUAGAUCUCCAUGGAUGCUAUUGAGAAGGUACUUCUCAAAGUCCACGAGGACAAGGACAUCUUUCCACCGAAUGCCACCUGGUUUAUAACAAAAGCAUGAAAAACAAACAGGAAUUUCUCAAUGCAGAAAGGACUGAAGCUGUCAAAGGUGUGCUUUUUUUCUGCACAAACAAGUUUCCAUUGAAUGAUAGAAUAAAGAGAUACUGACUUCCCCGGAGCCUCCAAACUUGAGUAGUCAGCUGCACUUCAAGGGAAGUUAUUGAAUAUGUCCUAUCCAACUAAAACAAGGAAAUGAUGAAAAAAAUAAAAUCACUUUCCAGAGGCCUCAGGGCUAACUGGAGACAGAGCUCAGACUGCAACUGAGAAAAGUUGGACUCCAAAACCUGUACUCUGAGCUUUACUGCAUGAGAAAGUUAUUGAAAUGUGCCUUGUGACAUUCAGAAUAAGUGACUUUUCAGAGGUCUCAGAGUCAGUAAGAGACAGAACUCAGAUUGUAACCAAGAAGAGCUGAACUCCAAACUUCUGUGUCCGGAAUUGGUGGGUUCUUGGUCUCACUGACUUCAAGAAUGAAGCGGCAGACCCUCGCGG